This 253-nucleotide ribosomal RNA is filed under the name uncultured bacterium. RNAcentral's name for it is "partial 16S ribosomal RNA". It matches the Rfam family "Bacterial small subunit ribosomal RNA", at positions 524 to 776 of the family's 1533-position model. The record is from RNAcentral.
UACGGAGGGGGCUAGCGUUGUUCGGAAAUACUGGGCGUAAAGCGCACGUAGGCGGACCAGAAAGUCAGGGGUGAAAUCGCGGGGCUCAACCCCGGAACUGCCUUUGAAACUUCUGGUCUUGAGGUCGAGAGAGGUGAGUGGAACUCCGAGUGUAGAGGUGAAAUUCGUAGAUAUUCGGAGGAACACCAGUGGCGAAGGCGGCUCACUGGCUCGAUACUGACGUUGAGGUGCGAAAGCGUGGGGAGCAAACAGG